This 274-nucleotide ribosomal RNA is filed under the name uncultured bacterium. RNAcentral describes it as "partial 16S ribosomal RNA". It matches the Rfam family "Bacterial small subunit ribosomal RNA", at positions 523 to 796 of the family's 1533-position model. The record is from RNAcentral.
AUACGGAGGGUGCAAGCGUUAUUCGGAAUCACUGGGCGUAAAGGACGCGUAGGCGGGUUGGCAAGUCAGAUGUGAAAUCCUACAGCUUAACUGUAGAACUGCAUUUGAAACUGCUAACCUAGAGUAUGGGAGGGGGAGAUGGAAUUAGUGGUGUAGGGGUAGAAUCCGUAGAUAUCACUAGGAAUACCGAAAGCGAAGGCGAUCUCCUGGAACAUAACUGACGCUAAGGCGUGAAAGCGUGGGGAGCAAACAGGAUUAGAAACCCUUGUAGUCC